CUAUAAAAAAAACCAUGAGAUUACUUUCAGUAUAAACAAUAUUUAACGCCUUUUUCUCUGGCUUGUGUAAUCUGUUCUUUGCAAAGAUAGAGCCAUGAAAAUCUUUUUAAUUAGUUCUCUGUGGGACUCACCUUUCAGGUGUGUGUGUUUAGUCUUUUAACUUUGAAAGUCAGAUUUUAUAUUUUUCAGGGCUGUCUUUCUUUUCAGUUUUAAAGUGUACGUGUUCCACUGCUGAGCAGACAGAUGCAGAUCGCACAUCGAUAACCUUCCAUGUUAUGUCUGUGUUUCUGCACCAUUUUGCUUGCAUGUCAUGAUAAAAAGGAAAAGUCUCUGAAAUGGAGGCACUUGUGUAACUAUCUGUGGUACAAUUCCAUAUUGAAAACCAAAUAUAUUAUGUGUAAUUGAUAAUUAAGUUGGUGCUGUUGAGCAACAGGUCCUGCUGGCAGCGACUUCAUCUGUAACAAAUAUUAAUGCUCUUGAGGUUUGUGUUAAUAAGUGUAUGAAAGAUAGUAGGCAGAAAACAGCCAUGUUGUGCACAGCUCAGAGUAGAAUUUGGUGAUUAUGGCAAGAACACUGACUGCUGUCUUGCUUAAAGAUCUUAUUUCUAGUAUGCCUACCGUAAAGGGGUGGAGAAUGUGGUCAUAACUAGUUAAUUAAAAUUGCAUGCUUAACUAAGGUACAUUUCCUUUGUGUUAACCUAGGGUAGUGGCUUUUUCCUGGCCCAGAAUACAGCAGUGCAAGAACAGUAUUCCUCCAUGUUGGUUAGUAUAGUGUUCUGUCUUGAUGAGCAGCUCAUUAACCUCUGGGACCAGAAUCAGGCUUUGGUGCAUUGAUUGUCCUAGCUGGGCCCCGUUGGAGGGUUAAGUAAGUGCAGGAGGAGAGUUUGAUGUUGAAAUAUUGCAGUUGAUCUGAAAUGGUAACUUUGUUCAGAGAGCCUUUAAAAAUGAGCAUUUUGUUCUAAAGUAUUGUCUUAAAACUAGUGAUUUUACAGACUAAUGCAAGAAAGAUGUGGUAUUAAGUGACUUUUUUAAACAAAAAAUCAUAUUCUUUUUAAAUAUACAGGAAAUAUUUUGUUUUUUGAAAAAUCAUCUUAAAAUGAAAUCUGUUCAAAAUCAUUUGUCCUUUUUAUCACUCCCUGGGAUCCAUUGCACUAAUCACUGUUCCAUUAUAAAAAUAUCUAAGAUCAGGAUAAUGAGUUACAAUAGUCUGAAGUGCUUCUGGCAAAAUGUACAUUUCUGAGUUGUCAUACUAAACAUACCUUAAAAUGCUUUUUGCUCCAUUGCAGUUUUGGAACUGCUAAUUUAUUUAGUUUUGUUCUUGUGGUGGUGGGAGCAGGGAAUCGGGAAGAUGUCCCAAGAUGAUAAACGUAGCCAGAAGUCACUAAUUUAAAGAACUCUUAAGCCAUAGGAGUAAAGGAUCUGAAGCUAUUGGUGAGGUCACCUCAGGACUUGCAAUUAAUCCAAAUGUUAAGAAGCACAUUUGAGAUCAUUGCUGUUACUAAGGCUUCUGUUAACAAAAGGUUGGUUUAUUUAUUUUUUUAAAAACUCAUAGUUUCAGCUGCACGUCUGACGAUGUCAGGUUAUCUGUGGUUGAAAGAGGUUUUGGUGCUUUGUGUCUUCCAAGGAGCUUGAUCAUCUGUUCACUUGAGACCUCCAGGAAAUGGAAAAACAAGCUCCAGAUGUCGCCUCUGCUGAAUCCCCCUGUGUUUUUGAGACCGGAAAUGGAGAUUACCACUACUUUGGAAGACUAAAG
Chelonoidis abingdonii (Abingdon island giant tortoise) is the source of this 1752-nucleotide non-coding RNA. NCBI's taxonomy places the organism in Eukaryota, Metazoa, Chordata, Testudines, Testudinidae. The record is from RefSeq and is a predicted model, not a curated record.